RNAcentral lists this ribosomal RNA (253 nucleotides) under uncultured bacterium. Its description in RNAcentral is "partial 16S ribosomal RNA". It matches the Rfam family "Bacterial small subunit ribosomal RNA", at positions 524 to 776 of the family's 1533-position model. The record is from RNAcentral.
UACAGAGGUCCCGAGCGUUGUUCGGAUUCACUGGGCGUAAAGGGUGCGUAGGUGGUGAGGUAAGUCGGAUGUGAAAUCUCCAGGCUCAACCUGGAAACUGCAUUGGAAACUACCUUGCUGGAGGAUUUGAGGGGGGAUUGGAAUACUUGGUGUAGCAGUGAAAUGCGUAGAUAUCAAGUGGAACACCAGUGGCGAAGGCGAAUCCCUGGAAAAUACCUGACACUGAGGCACGAAAGCUAGGGUAGCAAACGGG